This 249-nucleotide long non-coding RNA is filed under the name Mytilus galloprovincialis (Mediterranean mussel). Lineage: Eukaryota; Metazoa; Mollusca; Bivalvia; Mytilida; Mytilidae. The record is from RNAcentral.
GGGCUAGGAUGAAAUUUGAAAAAAAUAGGCAGGACAGGAGUUUUGAGUAAAAAAAAGGCAGGAUGUGACACUUGCAAAAAAAAAAAGUCAGGAUAAACUAAAAAAAAAAAAAAAGGCAGGACCGAUUAGAGUGAAAAAUAAAAAGGUAGGACAGAGAUAACAGCUAAAAAAAAAUGCAGGACAAAAUUUUUCAUACUAGCCCCCCCCCCCCCCCCCCCAUAAAAAUCAAAUGGUAGCUCCCUUAUAUGU